ACAGACUAGCCAAGUGGCUGAGACGAGUGUGGGAUCAAGGGAGAAAGAGAACCGGCGGCUGGCCUCGGACUCUAAGCGGUGCGCAGCUCCAGCCCGGGCGGAUCGGCCCUGAACCCACAAAGGACUCCUCGCUCCUUCAAGCCUCCACCACCUCGCAGCCGGGGAGGCAACUGGAGCGAAACCAGCGACAGAUGCGGCCAUGGACAAGACAAGGAGAGCGUCUUCCCUCUCGCCCCUCGGGUUCCCUCCUGCUGGGGACUGACCGCGUCUUCUGUGCGUGUGGGAUGGAGGCCCAGCUCACCCGGGCUCCGAGCUGUCCCCCGGCUCCGCUUUCGGAGCAGCCCUCGGGCGCUGGAGACGUUUCCCAUUGCGGUCUCCGGGUCAUGGCCAACGAGGAGAAGCAAUAAGAAUGGGGGAAAGGGUCCCAAGACAAAGGAGAGGGAAGCAUUCUGCAAUCCCAUCCUAUUUUAGCCCCGCGCAGGAGCUGGACUGUCCGCCGUGGCUGGGGGACAAGGUCUCAGCCCGAAGCUCAUGAGGUACCAGACUGUGCCUGGGCUU
Molecule: small RNA, 558 nt
Filed under: Pongo abelii (Sumatran orangutan)
Lineage: Eukaryota; Metazoa; Chordata; Mammalia; Primates; Hominidae
Description: processed transcript
Source: RNAcentral